This 236-nucleotide ribosomal RNA is filed under the name uncultured bacterium. Its description in RNAcentral is "partial 16S ribosomal RNA". It matches the Rfam family "Bacterial small subunit ribosomal RNA", at positions 537 to 770 of the family's 1533-position model. The record is from RNAcentral.
AGCGUUGUUCGGAAUUACUGGGCGUAAAGCGCAUGUAGGCGGACAUUUAAGUCAGGGGUGAAAUCCCGGGGCUCAACCUCGGAACUGCCUUUGAUACUGGGUGUCUAGAGUGUGGAAGAGGUAAGUGGAAUUCCGAGUGUAGAGGUGAAAUUCGUAGAUAUUCGGAGGAACACCAGUGGCGAAGGUCGGCUUACUGGUCCAUUACUGACGCUGAGGUGCGAAAGGCGUGGGGAAGC